GACGGAGGAUGCAAGCGUUAUCCGGAAUGAUUGGGCGUAAAGCGUCCGCAGGUGGCAGUUCAAGUCUGCUGUCAAAGACCGGGGCUUAACUUCGGAAAGGCAGUGGAAACUGAACAGCUAGAGUAUGGUAGGGGCAGAGGGAAUUCCUGGUGUAGCGGUGAAAUGCGCAGAUAUCAGGAGGAACACCAAUGGCGAAGGCAGCUCGCUGGAACGGUACUGACGCUGAGGCGCGAAAGCGUGGGGAGCAAACAGG
Molecule: ribosomal RNA, 253 nt
Filed under: uncultured bacterium
Lineage: Bacteria
Description: partial 16S ribosomal RNA
Rfam family: Bacterial small subunit ribosomal RNA
Source: RNAcentral